GACGAACGCUGGCGGCGUGCUUAACACAUGCAAGUCGAACGGAAAGGCCCUGCUUUUGUGGGGUGCUCGAGUGGCGAACGGGUGCGUAACACGUGAGUAACCUGCCCUUGACUUUGGGAUAACUUCAGGAAACUGGGGCUAAUACCGGAUAGGAGCUCCUGCUGCAUGGUGGGGGUUGGAAAGUUUCGGCGGUUGGGGAUGGACUCGCGGCUUAUCAGCUUGUUGGUGGGGUAGUGGCUUACCAAGGCUUUGACGGGUAGCCGGCCUGAGAGGGUGACCGGCCACAUGGGGCCUGAGAGACGGCCCAGACUCCUACGGGAGGCAGCGGUGGGGAAUAUUGCACAGUGGGCGGAAGCGUGAUGCAGCAACGCCGCGUGCGGGAUGACGGCCUUCGGGUUGUAAACCGCUUUCGCCUGUGACGAAGCGUGAGUGACGGUAAUGGGUAAAGAAGCACCGGCGAACUACGU
This 467-nucleotide ribosomal RNA is filed under the name uncultured bacterium. Its description in RNAcentral is "partial 16S ribosomal RNA". It matches the Rfam family "Bacterial small subunit ribosomal RNA", at positions 28 to 506 of the family's 1533-position model. The record is from RNAcentral.